Molecule: long non-coding RNA, 3310 nt
Organism: Salvia miltiorrhiza (redroot sage)
Lineage: Eukaryota; Viridiplantae; Streptophyta; Magnoliopsida; Lamiales; Lamiaceae
Exons: 2
Source: RefSeq, a predicted model, not a curated record
CUAGCCCACGUUCAUUUCCCUAAAUCACACAAAACUCAAGAAAUUCAAAAUCCCUAGCUUAGCUCAUUCAUCCAUAUACAGUAAUGAAACGGUCGAAUUUCGCUUUCCUAUAAUCAAUAUGAACAAAAUGGUACGAGUACGACGUAUUCUGAUUCCCGACUGGCAAUUUAUUAUAUAUUUCAACAAAAGCGGAAGAUGAUUCUCGAAGUUUCUUGAAGUGUUUUACUUGUUGGAGCCAAUACUAGCGUGCCCGCCGUUGACUCAGUAGCAAUUGAUUUAGCUGAGGUUUCUUUUUUCCCCCAUUUUCUGAGCUAAUUUCGUGUUGCCGUAACUUUGAGUGAAAGAAAAGGGAGGCGUUUGAUGGAGCUAUGUUACAUAAUUUAUUUAACGGAUACGUGAAGAGGCAAUGAGUUGAAAUAUAAUUAUCUGAAUUCUGGGAAAAAAGAAGAUAAUUUUGAAAGGUAAUGAAAAACGGUACAACUAUAUAGUAUCAUCAUCUAAAGGGGUUGUACUUGUAUGUUGUAGGUGUGGCGCAAAGCCCCUCUCAUGUAAUACCUAAUUAAAUGGAAAGGAAAAAUAGAAGCUAGCCCCAAAUGUGGGGGAAACAAACAACAAUGGAACUCAUAUGCUGUGGCUUGAAAAAUAUUUGUUGCCCUUCUUGCAGGACACAAGAAUUUGCUGUAGGUUAACUAACAAGCUGGAAGAUCUGCUGGUGCUGCCUCUAGUGUUUCCAGUUCUCCAAUUCCGUUCUCUACUAGGAAAGCCGUUGCAAGUCCCCAGCCGAUGUGAACAUCCAAGUGACAGUGCAGCAGCCAUACCCCUGUUUGCAGUUCAAUUUUUAAUCUCAAAGUUACAAAUAUGUGUUAGAACAUUAGACAUUUAGAAUAUGUGAUUUGUGUCUCAAAUUGAACCUGGAUUAUCUGCUACGAAUCUGAUCACCGUCCAUCCACCUACAGGAACACUUGCUGUAUUGCGCAGAGGAGGGUCUACAAGAUUGAAUUUGCCUGUAUCUCUGCUUGGAUUGAAAUUUCCGAACCCUUCAGCAAUUAUGUAGAAAUCAUAACCAUGAAGAUGGAUUGGGUGGUUCUCAGCAGUGAAGAUGCUUGUUCCCUGCAGAACCAACUGCACUGUUUCCCCGUAUCUUAACUUGUAGAGUUUAGUACCAGGAAUAGGCUGCCAUAGUGACCGGCUGACGUUCCCUGUAUAAUCAAACUUUACGGGAGGGUUUGCUGGAAAAUCUGUCGUGAAGACACCAGGUAUCCGUUGUUGAUGCGCUUGAAGCAAGGAGAAAGUGGAUGGCAGCACGAAAGAUACGUUGUUCAUGCUGGCAGUGAAUCGAGUACCAUUUGGACCCUGACAGGUGCUACGGCUGGCACCGGGGGGACAGUUUUUGAGUCCUAGUCCAACGGUGUAGAAGAGAUUAUGAUCAAUGUUAGUAGGUACUUGAACUUGUCUUGGGCUUCUGAAGCUGGUUGUGAAGGCAGUGGCAGUAGCAGUGUCGUUAAAAGCUGGCAUCGUUGGCAUAACUGGCUUGAUUGUGGCACCUUUAGCUGGGCAGGGGGCAGAUUUGUAUUCGAGGAUGGCUGUAGUUGUGGUAUUAUCAAAUGGUGCGCCUUGAGCACUUGCGUAGGCUUCUGCUGCCAUGUAGUAUCUUGCAGGUGGCUGAUCAGCGGUGAUUAGGACAUCCGUGGUCUGGCCUGGCCCGAGCAUUAGGACUGAGGUGGUGAAGGGCUUAACGUAGGAGGCAUCAGCUCCAACCACCGUAAGCUUGUGAUUGGCCACUUUGAAGAAGAGUUCUUGAUUGAGUGCAGAAUUGACAACUCUGAGAAGAUUCGUCUCGCCCGAGUCCACUGGAACUAUUACUGUGUCUGCAUCAGAUGGAACAAAUGUGUCAUAUCCCAGCAUUGAUCCUUAUUUGUCAUGUGCAGAUAUGAGCAAGGUUAUAUUAUGUUUAUCUUUCUUUUAAUGUGUCCUAUUAUUGAUUUGCUCUUGAUUUUUUAUAAUUUUCAAUAAACCGAUUUUAGGUGAAGAAAUUUGUAUCAUCUGCGCACUCAGACUAACUAUUUGUUGCCAUUACAAGGCAUCAGAAAUAAAAGCAAGAUUUGCAACCUUUGCUGGAGCAAUUGUACAGGUCUCCAGGCUGGCCAUUGAUUGUGUAAGCAUCGGAAAUGUUGGGAGCAGCUCCUGUUCUUGUGGCUUGUCUCACAACAGCGAUCGGAUCGGCAUUCCACCACUCACCUGACCAAAGUUGACAUCAGUCAUUAUCUGAGGUUUUUGAUUGAGCAGUAUUCACACACACACAUAAUCAUUGUUUAAAAAGACUCUGUUUCUUUUAUUGCUAAUUGAAGUGCACAUCAGAAGAUGAAGGAGCAAUAGGUACCAAGAAGAAGGGCCGUUUCACGCUUUGGCUUCUGGAAGGGAUACGAGUCUCCUUGUUUAGGGUGAAUGAUCAAAGCUCCGUAGACUGUGGCUCUGAGCCAUGAACUGUGAGCGUGCCACCAAAGAGUACCUUCUUGUCCUUGGAUGGUGAAUCGGUAAGUGUAACUCCCUCCUGGUCUUAUAGGGCAUUGAGUCACGAAUUCUGGUCCAUCAGCCCAUCCAGUCCUAAUCUGCCUGACACCGUGCCUACGAGGAAUAUAAAACGAUUAGAGGAGUUUAUUACACGUCUUAGAUUAUUCUAUGCGACUAUAUAGAUAUAAUGCUUGCAUUUCACAUGCAUGCAAUUACCAGUGAAUGGUAACGUUGUACUGAGCUCUGUUGACAACGUUAACCACUAGAGUAUCGCCAUUGUUCACUUCCAGCGUAGGCCCCGGGAACAUCCCAUUAACAGUGAUAGCGCUCUGGGUCUUGCACAGCCUCUUCACUGGGGUUGCUUGCACCUGUUUCACAAAAACAAUCAUGAGAAAAUGUAGAGAAUAACAUAGGAGGUAGGAGGUCAGAAACAUACGACAAAAUCAUGGUAGUGGACUUUGGCAUUUGUUGUCGGCAGUGUGCCGGUAGAGAGAAGCAAGAAAGCCAAUAUGAUGAAACAUGAGAAGAGAGAGGUGGUGCUGUUUCUGACUCCUUCCAUCUUCUUCACUAGUGUUUUGAUUUAGCUUCGUCGUUAGAUAGUUGAAGAGAAGGUUAGAGUGAAUAUUUGGGUUGUGAGAGAGUGAGAGCGUGGAAUUGCUUAUAUACACAAGAAUAGGCGAGAGAGGGUGGUUCUGAGGUUGGCAGAUUAGGUUAAGAUACAGAUUAGGGGCUAUACGUAGUUCAACUUUGUGUAGUUGUUGCACCCACUGGUUGAUCAGAAUCAAGAAAUUUUCAUCUA